ACCACGGUGGUGCAAAUGGUUAACACAUUUGUCUGCUAACCAAAAGGUUGGUGGUCCAAGUUCAUCCAGAGGUA
RNAcentral lists this transfer RNA (74 nucleotides) under Loxodonta africana (African savanna elephant). It matches the Rfam family "tRNA". From Rfam's summary of the family: Transfer RNA (tRNA) molecules are approximately 80 nucleotides in length. Their secondary structure includes four short double-helical elements and three loops (D, anti-codon, and T loops). Lineage: Eukaryota; Metazoa; Chordata; Mammalia; Proboscidea; Elephantidae. The record is from Rfam by way of RNAcentral.